Molecule: long non-coding RNA, 899 nt
Filed under: Mytilus galloprovincialis (Mediterranean mussel)
Lineage: Eukaryota; Metazoa; Mollusca; Bivalvia; Mytilida; Mytilidae
Source: RNAcentral
UUUAAUUAGGUCUUUCCACUUUUCUGUGGAAAGACCUAUUGUAUUUCUUCUGAUUAUUAAGUCUUUCCACUUUUCUGUGGAAAGACUUAUUGUAUUUGUUCUGAUUAUUAUUAUUAUUAUUAUUUUUUUUUUUUUUUUUCCGCCAACUUUUUUUCUUGCGAUAAAUGUUUGUUUCGCAAUAUGUCGCUUAGAUAUUUCUCAUAUUGUAUCGUAUAGUUUAUGCGCUUUUAAAUUUCACCCUGCUAAGCCGAACCAUUUUCUUUGUAAGAGUUAUCUCCCUAUUCACUGUUUAUCAUCAGAGCGUAUCUCCUUCGUAACAAAAAAAGAUAGCGACAAAAUUCUUUUUACAAAUUGUUCGUUACAUCCUCAGUAAUUUUUGGCGUAUUUGGAUCGAAGCGAUUCGAUGAAAUUUUAAAGGAGUUAUCUACCUUUAAGGAAUAAAUUUGUUCGUAUGUUUUUUUAUCUCAUAAACCGUUAACCGUAUAACCCUGGAAUGUUUUUAUUUGAGUUCCCUGGGUCCUAACUUAGAAAAUUAGGUCAAGGUCAAAGGUCAAGGUCAAGUUCUCAAUUGUGACUUUUGCUUGUUUUUGCAUUUUCUCUGACACUGUGAGAGAUACAUAUAAAAGAACAAUUGCAAAAUGUCUGCUUUAUUGUAAUGAAGAUAUGCUACAUUUAGUCUCAUACAAUUAAAUGGUAUCUUAUAGGAGUUGUUGCCCCUGAAAUGUCUUGAUAUGAGGUUAUUUGAUUAUAACUUCAAGUAAGUUCAUUAUAAAGACAUUUGACCUUAUACAAAAGGUUAAGUGACAAAUGACCUUGAAAAAUGGCUACCGGAAGUGACCUUGAGAAAACCGGAAGUAGCUUUUUUUGCAGUUUUUUUCACAUAAAAGUUCUCAAAAUCC